RNAcentral lists this ribosomal RNA (468 nucleotides) under uncultured bacterium. RNAcentral's name for it is "partial 16S ribosomal RNA". It matches the Rfam family "Bacterial small subunit ribosomal RNA", at positions 28 to 507 of the family's 1533-position model. The record is from RNAcentral.
GAUGAACGCUGGCGGCGUGCUUAACACAUGCAAGUCGAACGGAAAGGCCCAAGCUUGCUUGGGUACUCGAGUGGCGAACGGGUGAGUAACACGUGGGUGAUCUGCCCUGCACUUCGGGAUAAGCCUGGGAAACUGGGUCUAAUACCGGAUAGGACGAUGGUUUGGAUGCCAUUGUGGAAAGUUUUUUCGGUGUGGGAUGAGCUCGCGGCCUAUCAGCUUGUUGGUGGGGUAAUGGCCUACCAAGGCGUCGACGGGUAGCCGGCCUGAGAGGGUGUACGGCCACAUUGGGACUGAGAUACGGCCCAGACUCCUACGGGAGGCAGCAGUGGGGAAUAUUGCACAAUGGGCGCAAGCCUGAUGCAGCGACGCCGCGUGGGGGAUGACGGCCUUCGGGUUGUAAAUUCCUUUCGCUAGGGACGAAGCGUUUUUGUGACGGUACCUGGAGAAGAAGCACCGGCUAACUACGUG